RNAcentral lists this ribosomal RNA (253 nucleotides) under uncultured bacterium. RNAcentral describes it as "partial 16S ribosomal RNA". It matches the Rfam family "Bacterial small subunit ribosomal RNA", at positions 524 to 776 of the family's 1533-position model. The record is from RNAcentral.
UACGUAGGGGGCAAGCGUUGUCCGGAUUUAUUGGGCGUAAAGAGCGUGUAGGCGGCCAGACAGGUCCGUUGUGAAAACUCGAGGCUCAACCUCGAGAUGUCGAUGGAAACCGUCUGGCUAGAGUCCGGAAGAGGAGUGUGGAAUUCCUGGUGUAGCGGUGAAAUGCGCAGAUAUCAGGAAGAACACCUAUGGCGAAGGCAGCACUCUGGGACGGUACUGACGCUGAGGCGCGAAAGCGUGGGGAGCAAACAGG